AGGCCUAACACAUGCAAGUGGAGCGGUAACAGAAAGUAGCUUGCUACUUUGCUGACGAGCGGCGGACGGGUGAGUUGAAUGCUUGGGAACAUGCCUUGAGGUGGGGGACAACAGUUGGAAACGACUGCUAAUACCGCAUGAAUGUCUACGGACCAAAGGGGGCUUCGGCUCUCGCCUUUAGAUUGGCCCAAGUGGGAUUAGCUAGUUGGUGAGGUAAUGGCUCACCAAGGCAACGAUCCCUAGCUGGUUUGAGAGGAUGAUCAGCCACACUGGGACUGAGACACGGCCCAGACUCCUACGGGAGGCAGCAGUGGGGAAUAUUGCACAAUGGGCGCAAGCCUGAUGCAGCCAUGCCGCGUGUGUGAAGAAGGCCUUCGGGUUGUAAAGCACUUUCAGUCAGGAGGAAAGGUUAGUAGUUAAUACCUGCUAGCUGUGACGUUACUGACAGAAGAAGCACCGGCUAACUCCGUGCCAGCAGCCGCGGUAAUACGGAGGGUGCGAGCGUUAAUCGGAAUCACUGGGCGUAAAGCGUACGCAGGCGGUUUGUUAAGCGAGAUGUGAAAGCCCCGGGCUCAACCUGGGAACUGCAUUUCGAACUGGCAAACUAGAGUGUGAUAGAGGGUGGUAGAAUUUCAGGUGUAGCGGUGAAAUGCGUAGAGAUCUGAAGGAAUACCGAUGGCGAAGGCAGCCACCCUGGGUCAACACUGACGCUCAUGUACGAAAGCGUGGGGAGCCAGCAGGAAUUAGAUACCCCUGGUAGUUCACGCCGGUAAUCGAAUGUCUACUUAGAAGCCUCGGAAGCNUCGGCCCUUGNUUUUUCAAAGCCUACCGCAUUUAAGUUGAA
Molecule: ribosomal RNA, 844 nt
Filed under: Pseudoalteromonas sp. D102-F10
Lineage: Bacteria; Pseudomonadati; Pseudomonadota; Gammaproteobacteria; Alteromonadales; Pseudoalteromonadaceae
Description: bacterial SSU rRNA
Rfam family: Bacterial small subunit ribosomal RNA
Source: RNAcentral